GAAUUUUAUAUUUUAAUAUGUAAUAAUAUAUAAUUAAAAUAUUUUAUUGGGAGGAUAUUUAAAUUUAAUAAACUUUAAUUAUUAAUAACAUGGAUGAAUGAAAAUUUUAAAAAAAUAUUAAUAUUUAAGAAUAAAUGAAUAAUUAUGAAUUAUUAAAGAAUUAAUUACCUUAGGGAUAACAGCAUAAUAUUUUUUUGUAGUUCAUAUAUAAAAAAAUGCUUGU
Molecule: ribosomal RNA, 223 nt
Filed under: Hypoponera foreli
Lineage: Eukaryota; Metazoa; Arthropoda; Insecta; Hymenoptera; Formicidae
Description: partial large subunit ribosomal RNA
Source: RNAcentral